Molecule: ribosomal RNA, 845 nt
Filed under: Trematosphaeria pertusa
Lineage: Eukaryota; Fungi; Ascomycota; Dothideomycetes; Pleosporales; Trematosphaeriaceae
Description: mitochondrial SSU rRNA
Rfam family: Bacterial small subunit ribosomal RNA
Source: RNAcentral
AAUAUAAAAGAUUUAUUAACUUGCUUGACUAGGUCUNAUAAAGUUCUGGAUAAAGCUGAUAAUGACAACUUUAUAUCCAUAGGUCUCGACCAAAUCUUGUGCCAGCAGUCGCGGUAAGACAAGGGAGACGAGUGUUAUUCAUCUUAAACAGGUAUAUUGGGUACCUAGACGGUGUGCAAAGGCUGAUAUAAGUACCUAUUACACUUGAGUUUGAUAUGUGAGAGGAAGAUGUCAGAAUUGUUGGUGUAUGGGAUGAAAUCCGUUGAUACUAAUAGGACUGAUAAUGGCGAAGGCAAACCUCUAUGUACAUGUACUUACUUAAGUAAAUAAGAACAACAGAAAAAAAUGUUUAAAAAACAAGUUCUUUCUUAAGUAAACUACUAAACUGACGUUGAGGGACGAAGGCUUAGAGAGUGAAGAGGAUUAGAUACCCCCGUAGCCUAGGCAGACAAUGAUGAGUGCCAUAGAUUGGCUUUUAGCUGAACUAUAAAUGAAAGUGGAAGCACUCCACCUCAAGAGUAAUGUGGCAACGCAGGAACUGAAAUCAUUAGACCGNNUCUGAAACCAGUAGUGAAGUAUGUUAUUUAAUUCGAUAAUCCGCGAAUAACCUUACCACAAUUUGAAUGACCUAAAUUAUUAUAUAGUUAAUUGAUGGUUAAUAUAUAUUAGUUAAUUUUAUUGAUUAAGAUAUAAUAACCAUACCUUUUAAUUAUAUUAUUUAGACCACAUGCGUUGCAUGGCUGUCUUCAGUUAAUGUCGUGAGAUUUGGUUAGGUCCAUUAAAUUAACGUAAACCCUUGUUUUAUUUAAUACAAUAAGGCAGCUCACCGCUUACAAUUGGAUGAU